CAUUAGGUGGCUGAAAAUAAGCCAUGGAAUUUUAAACCAUUUUUAUAGUAAAAUUAUGCCUACUCCUAAUGA
This 72-nucleotide transfer RNA is filed under the name Chlamisus sp. N29. RNAcentral describes it as "tRNA-Lys". Lineage: Eukaryota; Metazoa; Arthropoda; Insecta; Coleoptera; Chrysomelidae. The record is from RNAcentral.